This 289-nucleotide ribosomal RNA is filed under the name uncultured Sphingomonadales bacterium. RNAcentral describes it as "partial 16S ribosomal RNA". Lineage: Bacteria; Pseudomonadati; Pseudomonadota; Alphaproteobacteria; Sphingomonadales. The record is from RNAcentral.
CUACUAGGGUAUCUAAUCCUGUUUGCUCCCCACGCUUUCGCACCUCAGCGUCAAUACUUGUCCAGUCAUUCGCCUUCGCCACUGGUGUUCUUCCGAAUAUCUACGAAUUUCACGUCUACACUCGGAAUUCCAGUGACCUCUCCAAGAUUCUAGCUAACCAGUUUCAGAGGCAGUUCCGGAGUUGAGCUCCGGGAUUUCACCCCUGACUUAAUUAGCCGCCUACGCGCGCUUUACGCCCAGUAAUUCAGAACCCCGCUAGCUCCCUCCGUAUUACCGCCGCUGCUGGCAC